RNAcentral lists this small nuclear RNA (366 nucleotides) under Mus pahari (shrew mouse). RNAcentral describes it as "sRNA (MGP_PahariEiJ_G0007926.1)". It matches the Rfam family "7SK RNA". Rfam says of the family: 7SK was discovered as an abundant small nuclear RNA in the mid-70s but a possible function has only recently been suggested. The record is from RNAcentral. Lineage: Eukaryota; Metazoa; Chordata; Mammalia; Rodentia; Muridae.
AGCUGUGGGUGCAACCUGGGCAGAACAUCUGUUACCUCACUGAUUACCAAAGUUGAAUCAGCCAAUCUGGCUUGGCAAGUGUCCCCGUGCUUCCCCACGCCAUCAUGAGUCUCCUUCUUGAAGCUAAACUCUUGAUAAAGCAACCUUCCUGGAUAGAGGAGGACUACCUUUUGGUCAAAAUUAUAUGAAAAGCUGCUCUCCCCAACUAGAACCCUAGACAAGCUCUAGGUAGCCCAUUUUUACUCCACAUAAAGGCCCUUGUGUUGGCAUGGGCAGGAAAGUCCUGAAAACCCCAUUCCUUGCCUCCUAGGUUUUCAAUGCCCCAAAGCCAAAGUGGACCCAGCUGUCUGGGAGGAAGCUUCAGAA